GAAAUGCGAUAAGUAAUGUGAAUUGCAGAAUUCAGUGAAUCAUCGAAUCUUUGAACGCAGCUUGCGCUCCUUGGUAUUCCUUGGAGCAUGCCUGUUUGAGUAUCAUGAAAUCUUCAAAGUAAAUCUUUUGUUAACUCAAUUGGUUUCUACUUUGGUAUUGGAGGUCUUUGCAGCUUCACACCUGCUCCUCUUUGUUCAUUAGCUGGAUCUCAGUGUUAUGCUUGGUUCCACUCGGCGUGAUAAGUUAUCUAUCGCUGAGGACACUGUAAAAGGUGGCCAAGGUAAAUGCAGAUGAACCGCUUCUAAUAGUCCAUUGACUUGGACAAUACUUUUAUGAUCUGAUCUCAAAUCAGGUAGGACUACCCGCUGAACUUAAGC
This 378-nucleotide unclassified non-coding RNA is filed under the name plant metagenome. RNAcentral describes it as "partial contains 5.8S ribosomal RNA, internal transcribed spacer 2, and large subunit ribosomal RNA". The stretch from base 1 to 105 matches the Rfam family "5.8S ribosomal RNA", at positions 50 to 154 of the family's 154-position model. The record is from RNAcentral.